Molecule: ribosomal RNA, 492 nt
Filed under: uncultured bacterium
Lineage: Bacteria
Description: partial 16S ribosomal RNA
Rfam family: Bacterial small subunit ribosomal RNA
Source: RNAcentral
AGUGAACGCUGGCGGUAGGCCUAACACAUGCAAGUCGAACGGCAGCACAGUAAGAGCUUGCUCUUACGGGUGGCGAGUGGCGGACGGGUGAGGAAUAAAUCGGAAUCUACUUUUUCGUGGGGGAUAACGUAGGGAAACUUACGCUAAUACCGCAUACGACCUACGGGUGAAAGCAGGGGAUCUUCGGACCUUGCGCGAUUGAAUGAGCCGAUGUCGGAUUAGCUAGUUGGCGGGGUAAAGGCCCACCAAGGCGACGAUCCGUAGCUGGUCUGAGAGGAUGAUCAGCCACACUGGAACUGAGGCACGGUCCAGACACCUACGGGAGGCAGCAGUGGGGAAUAUUGGACAAUGGGCGCAAUCCUGAUCCAGCCAUACCGCGUGGGUGAAGAAGGCCUUCGGGUUUUAAAGCCCUUUUGUUGGGAAAGAAAAGCAGCAGGUUAAUACCCCGCUGUUCUGACGGUACCCAAAGAAUAAGCACCGGCUAACUUCGUG